Mesocricetus auratus (golden hamster) is the source of this 3139-nucleotide long non-coding RNA. RefSeq lists it as uncharacterized. The transcript has 3 exons. Lineage: Eukaryota; Metazoa; Chordata; Mammalia; Rodentia; Cricetidae. The record is from RefSeq and is a predicted model, not a curated record.
CCCUCGCCUCUGGCCCUGGCUUGCUUCCCAUUUUGAGGAGCUGGCUGCCUCAGGCUGUUUUGUGGCACUGAAUUGGCAGCCCCCCCUUCUCGCUCCCCCCCUGCAUGAGUUGGCUGAAGGGGUGCAGGAAGUGUCGCCAGGAGCUGGCAGACUUCCCCAGGCUGAUCUCAGGCAAAAGCGUGAUCGGGCACAUGACAAGAAAUAGAUUUCAAAUGCAGCACUUUAAAAUCCCACUCCUCGGCCCCAAACCAGCCCCCUGUUCAAAAAUAAACAGAGUCAAAUGGAUCACCUGCCCCACGGCAGGCUGGCUCGGGUCCAGUCUCUAUGGAAAGUGUACGCACAAAGGGCUGACUGAAUUGCUAAGGAAGAUGGAAAGAGUCCCAUCCCCACGACAUUGUGAAUUGGAUUGCUCCCAGUAUACAGAGAAACAAGUCCAAGGCUUAGGAAGACCCUAGGAGAUAACACGCCAUGCAACCCCACAGCAUACAGAUGGAGCACCUAGGCUCAGCAAGAAGGAAUGGCUUGUGGAGACAAAGGGAUGACUGAGCGAGACGGUUAAGAGCUAACUGUCUGGCUUUAUGUUCUGGCUCCACUAUAAGCAAGAGACCAAGUCAUUACCAGCCGCGGCUCUUGUAAAUGGGAACAAAAUAGCUGUUUCUGCUGGAGUUGAUGUGAGUCUUACAUGAGAAAAUAACCACGGUGUAGUGUUUACAGAGCCCUGCAUAGAGAAGUCAUUCAAUAAACAGCAAGUACACUACCUAUCACGGUUACCCAGCAUCUGUGGCAGGACUAGCCUGGUGUCCCAGUGGCUUCACUGCCAAUCCCGGGGCUCCUGCUGGCAUAACUAUUCCUCUGUAGCAUCUCUCUAGACUCCCCCCAGGGAAGAAGUCCGAGGAGCUACUGCCUAUAGAUGCACCCCACAAUGGCAGCAGCAUAGAAAUGGUGGUGAUGACAGAGAUCCAGCCUGCCUGUGAGGGUGGAGGCAGCCCAGGCUCCGGGUGCCUGCGAUUUCUUGCUUUUCAUUGACAUUCCACAAGACUCUUGUCUUUAUCCGUAAAUCUCUGCACUUCUCCCCACCAAGGCAGCAGCUCCCCCCAUCGGCCCAUCGGCUCCUCACCUGUCUGAGCUCUCUGACAGUAGAUUAGGGUGAUCUUAUCUUCCCUAUUAUGGAGUGAUUGUAGCUCUGGCUGGGUUCAUUAGGAGCCGGAGAACCCCUCCAGAUUUAUUAGUUCAAAUCUAGCUUCCUCCAUCACAUCUUCUCUUCAGACACAUCCACCACAGUAGCAGACAGGGCGUUGCCCAGAGCCUUAAUUCUUCAUGUCCUGUAUCCAACUUGCAAGUAUCUUGUGAAACAAAGGUUCCUCCAACCACAGCCAAAGCCAGGCUGGAGGACAGAGACUCCAUUCUAUUCCAUUCAGUGGCCAAAUCGAGUUAUAUCCAUAACUGGUCUGUGUGCACCCCAUCUAGGCAGGCACACUCUAAGCCCCCAGAAACCUUGGUUACCAGGGAGCUAACAGGUGUUAACAUCUACUCUUAGGAACAGUUAUCCUUUAAACAGACAAGCCAGUUGCUCUUGCAGCAUACACAAGAGAGAUGUGCAGUGGCAAUGAGUAAUUCAGCAAUGUGGCAGAGAUUCCUUGCUAAUGACAAAAAUCUAUUUCCCCUUCAUCAUAGGCACACAGAAAACUACAUUUCCCAGACACCUUUGCAGGGAUGUGCAGCCAUGUGGUGAGAUUUAGUCAACAAAAUUGUAAGAAGUGAUCUGAACUGCUUCAAGGCUUGACCCAUAAAUUACUCUGUGUAUGAACCUCCAUGUUUUUUCCCCACCCCUGGCCUCUUUGGAAGCACAUUUAUAAACUAGAAGAUGCUUGUGACCUAAAUGCCCUUAUCUGAGGUCAUAACUAUCAGGGACUCCCUUGUGGAACUUCCAGUAAAAAAUGUGCAAUCUGCCUUCUAUAUCUGUGGGAUUGACACCAUGGAUUCAUCCAACAGCUGGCUGAAAACAGUCAAGGGACAAUUAGGUCUGUGCUGAAUAUGCACAGAUACUUUCCUUGUCACCGUUCCCUAAAUGAUGCCAUAUAAUAAUGAUCAGCAUUUACAUUAUAGUAGUAUUUAUCUAAAGAUGGUUUAAAGUAUAUGGGAGAAAAAGCUACACCAUUUAAAGGAGACACUUGAACAUCUGCAUUUUUUUGGAUUAUUAACAAAGGGUUUAGAAUCCAUCCCUUACCCAUAGUAAGGGACUACUGUGCUUGCCCUACUGUGUGAAGCUGUGGGGUUUGUGGGUUGAUUAGUUGUAGCAGUUAGCACCGUCUCCUGGCUACAAUGCCACCUCCAGCUAUUUUUAAAUUCCUACUAAGAGACUUUAAAGACAGGCAUUACCACUAUUCACAUCUUUACUGAUGAAGAAACUCCAAGGAGCCCCCGAGUCCACACAAGUCCCUGAAAGCAACAGAAGCAAGGUUUCCCACAUGUCCAUCAGGGCUGGGCUCUUAAACAGCAGCUACUUUCUCUUAUUACUAAGCUUCUUCAUUAGAAGGGCCCUUGACUACACCUGUGGGGUCUUGACUCUGCCAAUCUGCAAACUCUAACUAGAGAGAAUAGGCAUACAACACUUCCCACCCACCAGAAUGGCUCUUAUUAAAAAGUGAAAAAUCAGAAACAUUGGCAAGGUUGUAGUGAAAGUCAAACCCUUGAACAUUGCUAGUGGGAAUGAAAUGUGGUGCAAUCAUUCUAGAAAACAGUUUGGCAAUUUCCCAAUAAAUUAAAAUGUGAUGGCUGUCUAGGUCAGUGAGUUCUCUCCUUAGGAACAUACCCAGAAGGAGGAAGCAGAAACUGGGACAGAUAUUUGCACACCCAUGUUCAUGGGACUAUUAGCCAUAAUACCAAGCAAUUCGCGGACUCGCUGAUGGGUUAAUGGAUAUGCAAAAUGCACCAUAGUAUAUUAUUCAGCUUGAAGGAGGAUGAACCUUAAAGACACUGAUCUACAUCAAAUAAGCCAGACACAAAGGAUAAAUACUGUAUGAUUUCAUUUUCAUUGUAGCACAGAGUCAUGUUCACAGAAAGAAUGUAGAUGUGUGUUGGGGAUCAGGGGAGGGCUGGGAGGAGAAGGGGACCAGAGCAUCUGUGUAAUAAGUACAGA